This 678-nucleotide ribosomal RNA is filed under the name uncultured fungus. Its description in RNAcentral is "eukaryotic LSU rRNA". The stretch from base 335 to 488 matches the Rfam family "5.8S ribosomal RNA". The record is from RNAcentral. Lineage: Eukaryota; Fungi.
GUCUAUGUUCAUAGGCGACAUCUCUAUCCUGCUAGGAUUUACAUUUGUACUACUAGCGGCUCAUUUAGUUGAGUUCACAGGUCAAAUAGAGAUGGCCCCUAGGGGUUGAGAUAUGAUCGAGCACUGGUUCUAGCGAGCCUUUUAUUUGUGGAACCUGCGGAAGGAUCAUUACAGAGAAAGUGCCCUUUGGGGUAUAUCUCCCACCCUUUGUUUAUAAUACCAUUGUUGCUUUGGCAGGCCCGUCCAAGGACCACUGGCUUCUGCUGGUCAGUGCCUGCCAGAGGACCCCAACACUCUUUUAUAAUUUAUCGUCUGAGUACUAUAUAAUAGUUAAAACUUUCAACAACGGAUCUCUUGGUUCUGGCAUCGAUGAAGAACGCAGCGAAAUGCGAUAAGUAAUGUGAAUUGCAGAAUUCAGUGAAUCAUCGAAUCUUUGAACGCACACUGCACCUUCUGGUAUUCCAGGAGGUAUGCCUGUUCGAGCGUCAUUGCGACCAACAAGCUUAAGCUUGGUAUUGGAUGUCACCAGCUGGUGCGUCUUAAAAUCAGUGGUGGUGCCAUUCAGCUUCAAGCGUAGUAAAUUUCUCGCUUCUGGAGUUUGGGGUGUGGUGCCUGCUAGAACCCCUAAAUUAUCAAGGUUGACCUCGGAUCAGGUAGGGAUACCCGCUGAACUUAAGC